This 571-nucleotide ribosomal RNA is filed under the name uncultured bacterium. RNAcentral describes it as "partial 16S ribosomal RNA". It matches the Rfam family "Bacterial small subunit ribosomal RNA", at positions 355 to 918 of the family's 1533-position model. The record is from RNAcentral.
UGGGGAAUUUUGGACAAUGGGCGCAAGCCUGAUCCAGCCAUGCCGCGUGCGGGAAGAAGGCCUUCGGGUUGUAAACCGCUUUUGUCAGGGAAGAAAUCUUCUGAGUUAAUACCUCGGGAGGAUGACGGUACCUGAAGAAUAAGCACCGGCUAACUACGUGCCAGCAGCCGCGGUAAUACGUAGGGUGCAAGCGUUAAUCGGAAUUACUGGGCGUAAAGCGUGCGCAGGCGGUUUUGUAAGACAGAGGUGAAAUCCCCGGGCUCAACCUGGGAACUGCCUUUGUGACUGCAAGGCUUGAGUGCGGCAGAGGGGGGAUGGAAUUCCGCGUGUAGCAGUGAAAUGCGUAGAUAUGCGGAGGAACACCGAUGGCGAAGGCAAUCCCCUGGGCCUGCACUGACGCUCAUGCACGAAAGCGUGGGGAGCAAACAGGAUUAGAUACCCUGGUAGUCCACGCCCUAAACGAUGUCAACUGGUUGUUGGGAAGGUUCCUUCUCAGUAACGUAGCUAACGCGUGAAGUUGACCGCCUGGGGAGUACGGCCGCAAGGUUGAAACUCAAAUGAAUUGACGGGG